UAACUAGUCGAAAGAUUAGCUAAUACCGAAUAAUAACAUCAAUAUCGCAUGAGAAGAUGUAGAAAGUCGCUCUUUGUGGCGACGCUUUUGGAUGAGGGUGCGACGUAUCAGAUAGUUGGUGAGGUAAUGGCUCACCAAGUCAAUGACGCGUAGCUGUACUGAGAGGUAGAACAGCCACAAUGGGACUGAGACACGGCCCAUACUCCUACGGGAGGCAGCAGCA
Molecule: ribosomal RNA, 223 nt
Filed under: uncultured Ureaplasma sp.
Lineage: Bacteria; Bacillati; Mycoplasmatota; Mycoplasmoidales; Mycoplasmoidaceae
Description: partial 16S ribosomal RNA
Rfam family: Bacterial small subunit ribosomal RNA
Source: RNAcentral